GGGCCACCAGCCCUCUAGCAUGUGCUGGAGGGAGGAGACUGGGAAACACGCCUUCUCCCAGAGAGGAAAAGCUUCAGGCAAACAGGAAGAGGUAUGGCAAAGCAAAAGCAUGUCAGGGCAAUGUGACCGAAGGCACAAAGAUGGUGUUCUGCAAACCAUGAUAACAAACGGAGGUUGGCUACCUUAUAACACUUGACUCAGACCCUUUGAUAAAGAUAAGUAUCCCCUUUUCCCUUUUGAUUACACCUGGAUCUUGUUCUUGAAGGACAAGAAGGAGGAGGAAAGAAUUAGUCCCUGUAAGAGACAGUAUGCUGAUCCAGAUAGACUAUGGGUCUGGGUCAGUGGAAGUGGUUUGGUAUUCUUCUAUGUGCUACAGGUCUCUGGCAUCAGGAGCCAGCAGGGGCUGGAUGCUCCCUGAAGAACAGGGAGUGCCAUAACACAGCCAGCAGAGCAGGGACCUCACUGGCCAGGGCUCCAUCCCACAGGAUCUGAACAAGGCAAGCAGGGCAGGCCUGGAGGUGGCAGCUGGAACCAAGAGAGAAUCCAGAUUGGUGGACAAGUCCAUGGCAGUGGGAUAGGUCUGAGGUCAAGAUGGGAACAUAAAUUAGUGAGUCAGGUCUGGUGACAGCAAUCAGGGACAGACACACUCCUGUCAUCAGCAGGCAAGUCCCUAUAACACUGAGGGCUGGCCAGGAAGCUGUUCAGCAGGUCCUGGGUCAGUGGGAUACAGACAUGGCUGUAGCUGUAGCUCAAGCAUAGCCAAGCACUGGAGCCUCACCUGAAAUGCAGCUCCCCUGGGAGGGGGAGGUCUGACCAUGCUGAAGUCUCCCUGCAGACUUGCCUUCAGGGUCACCAAAGGGAAGGGGGGCAGCCCUCAGCUGUGCUAUCUCUAGGUUGGCUGCAAACCCAGGGUGCCAGACCUCCAGGAAGGGGGAUGAUGUUCUUGGGGCCCUUGCCUCUGGCUGUGUGGAGGGCAUAUAUUUCUUAACAGGACCUGUUUUUCCAGUAUAAACAAAGCCCUGGGUUGUGAGUGUCUCAGGGGAAGGAGGAACUGUGCUGAACCACAGGCUCACAAGAGUGUGGUUUUGGGUUGUUGUGGGUUUGGGUUUUUUUCCUCUACAGCACAAAGAAAAUCUCAUUGCUAGUGGGGAAAAAAAAAUACAUAAAGAAAUUACAUUUCUCCUAGCAACUAGGGCUGCAAAAACAUCCAGGAUAAAGGAAAAAUCUUAAUUACAAAGGAAUUCCCCAAAUCAUACUAGCUUAGAAGAGGAAAGAGUAUAAAUGUAUAACAGACCACAUUGUUUGGCAACCUGAUGAUUUUAAAUCACUGCUGUUUGCAUAUGUAGUCUCUGUCUUAUGUAAGCUCCUCUGUGAGUUAAUAGAUGCUGUAGAUGCUCAGCUGCCUUCUGCAGAGAUAAUGUCACAUUUUCAGACUGCUGUAAAUGCAGUGUGAAGAGCAACAAGAAGUGAAAGGCAGACAGGCUUUAAAGACAUCUGAUAGAACCUACUCUCACUUUUCUCAUAUGUGGCUAAAGUAUUUGAAAAUAGGCUGCUUGUAUGAGAAGUGUCUCUGGCUUCUACUAUAUUUGCUUGCAUUAGGUAUAUAACAUUUAUAUUUGUUUGUAAUUAAUAAUAGCAGAGAGGUUGAAGAGACCUUGUUCUUCCAGACAGUUUGAAGCCAUGUUAGGAGAUAAUUCCAGAUGUGCCCUUGAUUUAUACUUUUGGGUUCCAAAUUUCCAAAUAAACAGAGAUUAAUGAAUCCAGUGCAUUGCCUUGCAUUAACUUCUCUUCCCAUAGGCUGAACUCCAAUGUUCGCUUUCAGGUUGUGUGUGGUAUCUAUGUUGAGUGCCUAGAUGGAAACUGAACCCUGGGUACAACCUCUGCAUUUUCAGCACUUCAUCAGAGGCAAUUGGUGGUAGUAUUACUCUAUCACAUUUUUCUCCCCUCAUGAUUUCAGUGUUCUUUUCGUAUCACAUGCAACACAAUUCCUUCCCUCAAUACAUGAACCAUUACCACCUGCACCUUCACGUGAAUCUUCUUACAGUGAUGUUGGACAAAAGCAGAAUUACACUGAAGAGGAACUUAAGCAACAGGAAAUCUUGGUAAAAGAGAAUUUUUCUUUUUAAGAAAGGAAAAAGUUUUGAAUGAAAGUCUG
Molecule: long non-coding RNA, 2155 nt
Organism: Pseudopipra pipra
Lineage: Eukaryota; Metazoa; Chordata; Aves; Passeriformes; Pipridae
Exons: 3
Source: RefSeq, a predicted model, not a curated record